RNAcentral lists this long non-coding RNA (378 nucleotides) under Phoenix dactylifera (date palm). Its description in RNAcentral is "long non-coding RNA (PDAC_LNC021377)". Lineage: Eukaryota; Viridiplantae; Streptophyta; Magnoliopsida; Arecales; Arecaceae. The record is from RNAcentral.
UGAUAUCCCAAUCAAAAUUUGAUUAGAUAUGUGAUGGCUUCUUUGGUUGAUGAUUAAUUUGGAAGUAUGUGAAAGCUGCUAAUAUACUUCUCUCUUACGUCUUCCAUCUGUUUCCAAACUUCUCUUUCCAUCCGAUCUCUAUCUCCUCUCCCCCCCUUUGGGACAAAUGACUGUUAUACUUGGAGCUAGAAUCCCGACGCAUGUGAUUGGUGAUUAUGGCUCUCAAAAUCGGUAUCUUUGAUAUUGUAAAUGCGCAGACUUGGGAUUCUUGAGCUGUAAAACGGGGACGGAAGACUAGUAAACAUGGCACUUUUAACCACUAAAAUUAGGCUAUAUGGUCGAUAAGCUUAGUUAUAGAGACAGGUAAAUUCGGCACUC